AUCAUCCACUUUCUUUCUUUCUUACUCUCUUUCUUUCUUUCUUUCUUUCUUUCUUCCUUUCUUUUUUUUUUUUAUCGAGCAAGUAAGCAAGUAUUGUGAAACUGUGACUGCAUCUUAACUGGCCAGUGGGAGGUAGAUCGGGCUGCACCUGGGAGGAACUGAGAAUGAGAUUUGUCCUCCAAAAUAAAGCUGGGGCUGGAAUUUCACUGGUGAACAAUGAAGAUAUGGCCCUUUUACCCACAGACCAUGAGGAGGUAAUUAAUAGUGGAGGCAUGCUAUUGCUUAACCAUUGCAUCCCUUCCACAAGAAACAAUUUAAAGAAGUGAUUUGAAUGAAACUGACCAAUUGCUUAUAGCAAACACAGUUAAAAGAAGACCCAAACUGUGGACCUUGGCGACUGGGCCAGGAUGGAACUUCCUUUCUUCUAAGUGCGACAUCAUCCUGGAGCCGAGUGAAAUGAGCGACGAGGCAAGUGAGACCGGACAAAGAUACAACGGUCAACCCAUUUUAAAGCGCCAGAAACCCAUCCUACCUUACAUAUGUUCCACUCUAGAUUUUCAAGAAGAGAGAGACUUUUUGGCCAAAAGCAUCUUCCCUCGGCUUAAUGACAUCUGCAGCUCCCGGGGCACCUACUUCAAAGCUGUGGACUUGAGAUGGUCAGCUGUGAAGGCCCAUAAGUCCUUCACCAGCAACCAGUUCCGACAGUACUCCUGUCUCCAGUCUCAACACCUGAAACUCUCCCUGGACUACGUGAACAGAUGCUUCCCGUUUUUCAUCGGCCUGCUGGGGCAGACCUACGGAGAUUUCCUCCCCGACUACACACCUUUCCUGUUAUCCCAAGUGAAGGACUUCGAAAGUUUAUCCAAGGGAGAACAGAAUCUAUACAUUGCUGCCAAAAAUGGUUACCCUUGGGUUCUCAAGACUCCCAACUGCAGCCUGACAGAGUUCGAGAUCAUCCAAGCAGUAUUCCGGAAGAAAUCUCAAUUUCAAUUUUUCUACUUCCGGACAUCAAAUUCGCUGCUGCGAACUUUUAAUGAGGAAGAGGAGGAGGAAGAGGAGAAGCUGUCCUCAGCAUAUCUGUUGAACGAACAGGGGAAGAUGAAGGUUGGAAAGCUCAAGGCUAAGAUCAUUGGCAAAGGGCUUCCUGUCAGAUUCUACAGAGACCUGGAGGAACUGGGGGAUAUGGUUUGGAAGGACUGGUCGGCUGUUGUGGAAAAGCUCUAUCCAUUCACUACGAUCAUGGGAAAUAUAGACUACAAACACAGUUUCGAGAAUUUGUAUCAUGAAGAGUUUGUGGAGAACUGCAAGCAAGUUUUUGUUACUUCCAAGGAGUCAAACAGAACCUUUGAAAUAUUGGAAAGAUUUGCUAUAAAAGAUCUUGAUCUUGAUCUUGAUACUGACAGUACUAUAGCAGGUUCGGGGUUAGACUCCAUUCUCAGAAUCAAUUCCCUUCCAACUUGUAAGUCCAUUUUGCUCUUGUCUGGGGAACGCGGCUGUGGGAAGUCCACACUGAUUGCCAACUGGGUCAGUAAUUUCCAAAGCAAACACCCCGGAGUGCUGAUGAUCCCAUACUUUGUGGGCAGUACGUGUGAGAGCUGUGACAUCAUGUCUGUGAUCCACUACUUCGUCAUGGAGCUUCAGCACAGAGCCAACGGUCCCCGGCUUGAAAUGGAUUUCCUUAACGAGGACUCAAAUGUCUUGGUCUUUUCACUUCUCGUAGAAGUGUUCAUAGCCGCCAUAAGCUUAAAGCCAUGCAUCCUGGUACUAGACGGGAUCGAAGAGCUGAUCGGUAUCUAUGGGAUUUCAGGUCAGAAGGCGAAAGAUUUCUCCUGGCUGCCGCGCUCCCUGCCUCCUCACUGUAAAUUCAUUCUGAGCAGCGUCUCCUCCAGUCUGUCCUGCAAGUCGCUGUGUGCCCGCCCUGACGUGAAGAUCGUGGAACUCAACAGCAUCGGGGACGAAGACACCAAGUUCAACAUCUUCAGACAGCACCUCUCCCCUGCCGACCAAGAACGCUUCGGGCAGAGCAAGCCCAUUUUGAGGAAGAAACCAAACCUGAGCCCUCUGAAGCUCGCAAUCAUCGCCAGCGAGCUGCAGGAGUGCAAAAUCUACCGCAAUGAGUUCCAGUGUCUCCGGGAGUACUUGGAGGUUGCCUCUGUGCAGGAGCUCUGGGAGUUGAUUCUGAAGCGCUGGGUUGAAGAUUAUAGUUGGACUUUGAAGCCUAAAGACACAACUCUAGACACCGUGAUUCCAGGUGUGUGAUAGCUGAUCCUAAAAGUGCCUCCUUUAUGGCUCCAAGACUUGUUUGUCCCAGUUUCUCGGUUGUUCUGUUUCUGCUGCCCCCUGCUGGUGCAGUCCCUCAUCCUCACCAAGGACAAUCUUGUUUUGUUUCCACAGGGUCUCUCUAUGUAGUUCUGGCUAGAACUUGCUUAUGUAGACCAGGCUGGACUCAAACUCACACAGCUCCAUCUGCUUCUGCCUCCCGAGUUCUGGGACUAAAAGGGUGUGCUAUAUACCUUGGCUCUCCUGGCACCUUGAUGCCUGAUUUCCUCUUCAACUUUCUCCUAGACCUUUCUCAGUUUAGUAACAGCUCUUUCCUUCCUAGUUGGGGUAAAACAAACAAACAAACAAACAAACAAACAAACAAACAACAUCGUUAGCUCAUCUUGUGAGUCUAUUGUUUGUGGUGAACAAUUUUUCUUUUUUUUUUUUUUUUUUUUUUUUUUUUUUUUUUUUUUUUUGGCCUUGGUUCUGCUUUAUUGUCCUUAGAGCACCCUUUGGAUACAGUUUUAAAAAAUAAACCACAUACAUAGUAGGAACUGAGUCCAGGCUGAUGCCCCGUAUCUCCAGAAAAAUCCCAACCCAAGAAUGUUUAUACAAAAUGUCAGAGGGGAAAACCAUGAGGCAGCAUGGUGCUGAGCUGAGGGGUGGCCAGUUGGCAGAGGAGCGGGCGGUCAGUGACGGAGCAGCCAGGUCACGCCUCCUUCUCAUAAGUCCGAGUGCUCACCACACUGCCAUGAGUGAGAGUCAGGAUGAGUUUCCUGUCAACUAGCUCCCUAGUUAGUGUUGUCUCCUGCCCAUUCCACUUCUGCACAUGGAUGAGUUUGCCUCCGUCCAGCGUCACCAGUGACUUGACCUUCCGGUCAUCUGCUGUCACCUCGUCGAACUCUAUUCCCAGCUGAAAGUUGAUCUCUGUGUUCUUGAAGGUACUUUGUGUCUUUAUGGUGAUAGUAUCCCCGUUCUUCUCGAUGAUGGUAGUAGGCUUGGUCAUGCUAGCCACCUGCCUGGUGGCAAAGCCCACACCGAGUGACUUCAUGUAGUCAUCAAAAUUCUUGCAGUCCACUAGCUUCCAGGUACCGACAAAGGCGUCCGCCAUGGUGCGAUGAGUGAGGAGGCGGGCAGGCACUGAGAACCGCAGCUCCCGGCUGGACAGCCUCUUUAAAUAGCCCUCGCAUCACAUGAUGAAAGUGGCCCACACCCCUCGCUCCCGAAAUGUGAACAAUUUUUCUACGGUGUGUUUACAACAGUCAAGAAGCAGGCUGUUGAAAGCUUUUAUUCUCUCCAGCCACUGUCUGUGCAGUAGGCCUCUGAUAUCUGAUUUGAAGCUUGCUUUCCUCGUUUUGUCUUUUCUGCAUCUCAGUCUCCUUUCAGAACACGGAAACCUAGAUUGGAAUGCAGUUGGAGAGGUGGAAGAAUACAGGGCACAUUGAUUACUGUGGUACUACAUUGUCCCUCACAGUUUUCUGCUCUACCGUUUGCAUUUCUAUCAGGAAAGUGGAUUUUAAGGUGGAAGUGAGGUCCCCUAGAAGAGUUGCAAAGGCCAUUGAUCCAUUCUAUCUAACUACACCCCCAGGACUGCACAGGAAAGCCCUCGGCUCCUUCCUGCAAUGGCGGCUGCUUCUCCAGCACUGGCCCGCAGUCCUGAUGGGUCUAGGGAGCUCCAAAGCCAUGGGGCUAGGAAGAGCUGGGUAGAGCUCAGUCCCGUUUAGGGGGAGCUUCAUCACCUUGGCUUCAGAUGUGCCUUUAAUUGAAGGCUGUAGGUAGUGUGGACCACUUCAGUUCACGAGCGGCAGGGGACCAUGAUGCCUGUCUUCGCUGUGGUCAGAAGGAUCUCUCUAGCUGGCAGAUCUUAAAGCCAGUGAUAGGACAGAAGCUUAAGGGCCCUUGGAUGGUGUUUGAGUGAGUGGCCCUUCUCCAAGAGAAGCUCCUGACCUAGCAAACUGCACUGGGCAGAUUGCUUCGCGUGGAGACCAGGAAGCCUGCCCAUUUGUCCCCGGUGUUAGAUAUGACUGUCAAUGGUGGGUGACACCUUGGGUUCUGAAGGCAAACUGAAUUCAGAUCCCCUCUCAGCACUUUCUUCUGAGUGACUUUGGGUAAGUUAUUCAACCUGCCUGCACCCCUUCCUUUGGAAGACUGGGGCCAUUACAGUACUUACCUGGAUGGAGGAGGGAGGGUGUUUCCUGGUGUAGUGGACCCCCUACUUCCACUGACGCGCUCUCUUUCGUUCUGUCCUCCCACCCCACCCCCUCUGCGGCUGCCUAGGGCCAAGUGGCUGGGUAGUGGAUGUGCUGUGCUUGCUCUGCAUCUCUCACUGCGGGCUGGCUGAGGAUGAACUGCUCCAGCUUUUGGACACGAUGGGCUACAGGGACCACCACAAAGUGACGGCGGUGCACUGGGCAGCCUUCCGCCAAGCCACCAAAACCUGGAUCCAGGAGAAGCCCAAUGGUCUCCUCUACUUCCAGCACCAGUCCCUAAGGAGUGCCGUGGAGCACAAGCUGCUGGGUGUAAGCACUCCGGUGAGAGAGAGCAAUCCCAAUGUGGCCCAGAACAGCGUGAAUCACAAGAAGGCACAUUUCCACCAGGUCUUGAUGAGGUUCUUCCAGCGGCAAACCAUCUUCUGGAGGGUGUAUCAGGAGCUGCCCUGGCACAUGAAGAUGAGCGGGUAUUGGGAAGGUCUAUGUAACUUCAUCACGAACCCCAGCAUCACAGAUUUCAUAUCGAAAAUCCAAAACCCAAGCUUGUGGACCAGGCUGCACCUUGUCCACUACUGGGAUGUGCUGCUGGAAGCCGGCAAUGACGUGUCUGAGGCUUUUCUGCUCUCUGUUGCCAAGAUAGAAGGGGAACAAUUCCAGAAACUCAAGAAGCGAACCACACUCUCAGUGCUGGAAUGCAGCCUGUCCGAGAUUACUGCUGCUGAUAAAGGCAGAAUUAUCCUCUUUAUUGGAAGUUUCCUGAAGCUAAUGGGCAAGAUCAAUGAAGCUGAAAAGCUGUUCUUGAGCGCUGAGGACUUGUUACUACAGAGUUUUUAGGAUCAAAGCCUGGUGGUCCCUGGCAGCCCCUAACAAGCUAGGUUCAGCUACUCAUCCUCAGUGUGCUGAUUAAUGAGACAACAAAUACUAAGAAACAGUAAGAGACAGAGAUAGGAGACUCCUCCAGUGUGCCCGCCCAUCCUGGGAGAGGAGACAUUGAGAGAGAGGCCCAGUCAUGUCAAGUUCCUCUCUGGGGUCCUGACAUGAGGCUUAGGUUUACAGAGAGAGCACAAGACAUUCCUAAGCAGUCCUAGAGCCCAUCCAUGACAGAAAUGCUGCUCAGAGCUCAGAAUGCCAUUGGGGAAUUAUAUCUUGAGAUUGGGAUGACUCCGAAAGGACUCACAUAUUUUCAGAAAGCUUGGUCAAAUCUGCUGCGGUUUACACUCAGCGACCUAAAGAUCAGCCAGGAAUUGAUGAAGCAGAAAGUUAAAGUGAUGAAUAACCUGGCAAAAUCGGCGCCUGGGGAAUUCUUAAAAGAAAACCACGUUCUGGAAUAUGCUACCGAAAUCUCCAAGUACGUGACUGGUAAUCCCCGUGAUCAUGCUACCAUGAAAUAUACUGAAGGUGUUCUCAUGUUGGCUUCCGGAAACGCAGCCCUGGCAAAACUCAAGUUUCAAGAGUGUUUAACUAUCAGAAGAUGGCUAUUUGGCAAUAAAAACAUACUAGUUGGAGAAAUUAUGGAAUUCUUAGCAGAUUUACUAUUUUUUCUACUAGGAGAAAA
Molecule: RNA transcript, 6027 nt
Organism: Mus musculus (house mouse)
Lineage: Eukaryota; Metazoa; Chordata; Mammalia; Rodentia; Muridae
Gene: Ttc41
Gene name: tetratricopeptide repeat domain 41
Exons: 14
Source: RefSeq, marked validated